AUGUGGACCUGUCUUCGUCAGCGCUAUGAGCCCUCUGGUGAUGCCUUAUACCUGUCUGUGGUUCGUCAGGAGCAUGCUCUUCAGCAGGGUGACUCUACUGUUGAUGACUUUUAUGCACAGAGUUCUGCUAUCUGGCGCCAGCUUGAUUCUCUCCGCAGUGCUGGUUGUCGUACUUGCCCCUGCUGCCAGGCUGUCCAGGCCGAUUUGGAGUUUCAUCGCGUCUACGAGUUCCUGUCUCGGCUCCGUAAGGAGUUUGAGCCUCGGCGUGCUCAGUUGCUUGCUCGUGGCCGUAUUUCUCUCAUGGAGGCGCUUUCAGAAAUUCGUGCUGAGGAGACUCGCCUACGCGGUGCUGGUUUGCUGGAGGUUCCCUCGGUGCUCGCUACUCGGGUUUCUUCCACUCCAUCUGCUGCACCGCCUCCUGCUCGCUCGAGUGCUCCGCCGCUCUUGCCCACUCCUUCUGGUGGCUCCGCUCGCCCCCGUUCACAUUGUGACUACUGCAAGAAUGAUGGUCAUAUUGAGUCCCAAUGCUACACCAAGAGGAAACACCUGCGCAAGGCGCGAUCAUCAGGGACU
This 573-nucleotide ribosomal RNA is filed under the name Triticum aestivum (bread wheat). Its description in RNAcentral is "partial small subunit ribosomal RNA". The record is from RNAcentral. Lineage: Eukaryota; Viridiplantae; Streptophyta; Magnoliopsida; Poales; Poaceae.